GACGAACGCUGGCGGCGUGCUUAACACAUGCAAGUCGAACGGAAAGGCCCUGCUUUUGUGGGGUGCUCGAGUGGCGAACGGGUGAGUAACACGUGAGUAACCUGCCCUUGACUUUGGGAUAACUUCAGGAAACUGGGGCUAAUACCGGAUAGGAGCUCCUGCUGCAUGGUGGGGGUUGGAAAGUUUCGGCGGUUGGGGAUGGACUCGCGGCUUAUCAGCUUGUUGGUGGGGUAGUGGCUUACCAAGGCUUUGACGGGUAGCCGGCAUGAGAGGGUGACCGGCGACAUUGGGACUGAGAUACGGCCCAGACUCCUACGGGAGGCAGCGGUGGGGAAUAUUGCACAGUGGGCGGAAGCCUGAUGCAGCAACGCCGCGUGCGGGAUGACGGCCUUCGGGUUGUAAACCGCUUUCGCCUGUGACGAAGCGUGAGUGACGGUAAUGGGUAAAGAAGCACCGGCUAACUACGUG
Molecule: ribosomal RNA, 468 nt
Filed under: uncultured bacterium
Lineage: Bacteria
Description: partial 16S ribosomal RNA
Rfam family: Bacterial small subunit ribosomal RNA
Source: RNAcentral